This 253-nucleotide ribosomal RNA is filed under the name uncultured bacterium. Its description in RNAcentral is "partial 16S ribosomal RNA". It matches the Rfam family "Bacterial small subunit ribosomal RNA", at positions 524 to 776 of the family's 1533-position model. The record is from RNAcentral.
UACAGAGGUGGCAAGCGUUGUUCGGAAUUACUGGGCGUAAAGGGCGCGUAGGUGGCCUUUUGAGUCAGACGUGAAAUCCCCCGGCUUAACCUGGGAACUGCGUCUGAUACUGGAAGGCUUGAGUUCGGGAGAGGGAUGUGGAAUUCCAGGUGUAGCGGUGAAAUGCGUAGAUAUCUGGAGGAACACCGGUGGCGAAGGCGGCAUCCUGGACCGAGAUUGACACUGAUGAGCGAAAGCCAGGGGAGCAAACGGG